UACGAAGGGGGCUAGCGUUGUUCGGAAUCACUGGGCGUAAAGCGUACGUAGGCGGACCAUUAAGUCGGGGGUGAAAUCUCAGGGCUCAACCCUGAAACUGCAUUCGAUACUGCGUGGCUAGAGUGCUGGAGAGGAGACUGGAAUUUACGGUGUAGCAGUGAAAUGCGUAGAUAUCGUAAGGAAGACCAGUGGCGAAGGCGAGUCUCUGGACAGCAACUGACGCUGAGGCACGAAGGCCAGGGGAGCAAACGGG
This 253-nucleotide ribosomal RNA is filed under the name uncultured bacterium. RNAcentral's name for it is "partial 16S ribosomal RNA". It matches the Rfam family "Bacterial small subunit ribosomal RNA", at positions 524 to 776 of the family's 1533-position model. The record is from RNAcentral.